GCUCGGUUUUCGCCCCUUCCUACCCCGCCGCCCCAAGCGCCUGCUUGCAACAUCCUCCCCAAACUCCCUAACUGGUAGAAAGUUUCUGCGAUUGCUCAAACGCCGGAGGGCUGUUUUUCUCCUCCCACCCUGGGGGGCGCCAAAGACCUGCGCCGGCCGGCCAAGGGACGCAAAGUGUCGCCUCGGGGAAGGAAGAUCUCGCCGUUUGCCCUCUCCCUCCUCUGAGACCCUCCGCGACCCCAUCCGCGCAGUUCGCAAUUGGAACGGUUAUGCAGGGGACCCCCUUCUCCCCCAGCUAGCCUUCCCAGUUUGGGAACCGAGAGCCGGACCAGAGGAGACCGAGACAGCGCUCUCGGAUGCUGGGAUCACCCCAUCGGCAACAGAACUGCCUUCUCAGCCAGCUAGGGAAAAGUUUUGUUUUAAACUCGUUUGCAAGGGAAAGGGCUAUUGCUGAGGCUGUAAGAUAGGAGUUUUGGAAGCCGAGGAAAGCCGAAAAACAGCUGUUGGAAGCUUUGGACUGUAGUAGUUUGCGGACUGAACUCCUAAAUCCAGUUGGAAAAGGAUGGGGAAAAAAACAGAUAGGAAGAGAUUGUGUUUUGAGAGAGAGCUUCGAGGCCGAUAUCCCCAGGGACUUGAAAACUGGUAUUUAAGCCACGUGUUGUAAAUGGAAACCCUUCACACCGUCACUAAGAGGACUGAGCUGUAUUUCUAGCUUCCUGAGGAAUGUGAGAAAAGGAUAGGACACGUCCCUGAAGGACACCUGCAGAUAAGGGAUUAGUAACAUUUUAAUGACUAUAAAGGUCUAAUGAGAAGAGAAUUUCUAGUGAUAUGCCCAAAGUGAUCUGCAUCUAACAGAUUUUGUAGAGAUCAUUUUUAGAUGAUAUAAAGAAAUUUCUGACUGCUACAUUAGGAAUUAUGAUUUGAGCCAUUUUUAUACUGUUAUGGUUUCUUUUGCUAAUAUCGUUUUGAUCCAUACCUAUUAAACUGUGCCUCAUUUUUUCUUGCUAAAGAAUUAUGUGAAUCUAUUACUGACCUUUGCUCUUUUUAUUAUAGUAAAAUUUUGUUACCACCCAUGGGAAAUAGCAGUGCCACAAGGAAAUAACACACCCCCCCUCCAUUCUCCAUUCUAAAAUCAUAAGGGCCUC
Molecule: long non-coding RNA, 1145 nt
Filed under: Dasypus novemcinctus (nine-banded armadillo)
Lineage: Eukaryota; Metazoa; Chordata; Mammalia; Cingulata; Dasypodidae
Description: lncRNA (ENSDNOG00000052153.1)
Source: RNAcentral